Molecule: ribosomal RNA, 501 nt
Filed under: uncultured bacterium
Lineage: Bacteria
Description: partial 16S ribosomal RNA
Rfam family: Bacterial small subunit ribosomal RNA
Source: RNAcentral
AGUGAACGCUGGCGGUAGGCCUAACACAUGCAAGUCGAACGGCAGCACAGUAAGAGCUUGCUCUUACGGGUGGCGAGCGGCGGACGGGUGAGUAACACGUGGAUAACCUACCUAUAAGACUGGGAUAACUUCGGGAAACCGGAGCUAAUACCGGAUAAUAUUUUGAACCGCAUGGUUCAAAAGUGAAAGACGGUCUUGCUGUCACUUAUAGAUGGAUCCGCGCUGCAUUAGCUAGUUGGUAAGGUAACGGCUUACCAAGGCAACGAUGCAUAGCCGACCUGAGAGGGUGAUCGGCCACACUGGAACUGAGACACGGUCCAGACUCCUACGGGAGGCAGCAGUAGGGAAUCUUCCGCAAAGGGCGAAAGCCUGACGGAGCAACGCCGCGUGAGUGAUGAAGGUCUUCGGAUCGUAAAACUCUGUUAUUAGGGAAGAACAUAUGUGUAAGUAACUGUGCACAUCUUGACGGUACCUAAUCAGAAAGCCACGGCUAACUACGUG